UGGUACGCGAGCUGGGUUUAAAACGUCGUGAGACAGUUUGGUCCCUAUCUUCCGUGGGCGCAGGAGACUUGAGAGGGGUUGCCCCUAGUACGAGAGGACCGGGGUGAACGAUCCGCUGGUGGGCCUGUUGUCGUGCCAACGGCAUAGCAGGGUAGCCACGAUCGGAAAGGAUAACCGCUGAAAGCAUCUAAGCGGGAAGCCUGCCUUAAGAUGAGGUCUCCCCUCUUCGGACUGAAGGCCCCACGUAGACUACGUGGUUGAUAGGCCGGAAGUGUAAGCGUAGCGAUACGUUCAGCUAACCGGUACUAAUAGGCCGUGAGUCUUUUCUA
RNAcentral lists this ribosomal RNA (329 nucleotides) under Desulfovibrio sp. Its description in RNAcentral is "partial 23S ribosomal RNA". It matches the Rfam family "Bacterial large subunit ribosomal RNA", at positions 2594 to 2925 of the family's 2925-position model. The record is from RNAcentral. Lineage: Bacteria; Pseudomonadati; Thermodesulfobacteriota; Desulfovibrionia; Desulfovibrionales; Desulfovibrionaceae.